This is a long non-coding RNA of Oxyura jamaicensis (ruddy duck), 139 nucleotides long. RefSeq lists it as uncharacterized. NCBI's taxonomy places the organism in Eukaryota, Metazoa, Chordata, Aves, Anseriformes, Anatidae. The record is from RefSeq and is a predicted model, not a curated record. The transcript is spliced from 2 exons.
CCACCUUCCCCCGCACCGCGUCCCCCUGCAGCACCCCACGGCACCGAGUGUCGCCGCCCCACGGCGCCAGGUCCCCCGAGGGCAGCCCCACGGCCCUGGGGCGCCUGCGCCGCACCCUCACCUUCGAGGAGGAGCCGGA